This 269-nucleotide ribosomal RNA is filed under the name uncultured Planctomycetales bacterium. Its description in RNAcentral is "partial 16S ribosomal RNA". It matches the Rfam family "Bacterial small subunit ribosomal RNA", at positions 565 to 832 of the family's 1533-position model. Lineage: Bacteria; Pseudomonadati; Planctomycetota; Planctomycetia; Planctomycetales. The record is from RNAcentral.
GAGCACGUAGGUGGGUUUGUAAGUCAGAUGUGAAAGCCUUCUGUUCAACGGAAGAAUUGCAUCUGAAACUGCGAGUCUUGAGUGUAGGAGGGGAGAAUGGAACUUCUGGUGGAGCGGUGAAAUGCGUAGAUAUCAGAAGGAACUCCGGCGGCGAGAGCGAUUCUCUGGCCUAUUACUGACACUCAGUGUGCGAAAGCUAGGGGAGCAAACGGGAUUAGAUACCCCGGUAGUCCUAGCCGUAAACGAUGGGCACUAAGUAGAGGGGUUUU